Molecule: ribosomal RNA, 330 nt
Filed under: uncultured bacterium
Lineage: Bacteria
Description: bacterial SSU rRNA
Rfam family: Bacterial small subunit ribosomal RNA
Source: RNAcentral
UGUGUAGGCGGUUCUUUAAGUUUGGUGUGAAAUCUCCCGGCUCAACUGGGAGGGAGCGCCGAAUACUGAGGGACUAGAGUACGGGAGAGGAAAGUGGAAUUCCUGGUGUAGCGGUGAAAUGCGUAGAUAUCAGGAGGAACACCGGUGGUGUAGACGGCUUUCUGGACCGUAACUGACGCUGAGACACGAAAGCGUGGGUAGCAAACAGGAUUAGAUACCCUGGUAGUCCACGCCCUAAACGACGCAUAUUUGGUGUGGGCAGUUCAUUCUGUCCGUGCCGGAGCUAACGCGUUAAAUAUGCCGCCUGGGGAGUACAGUCGCAAGGCUGAA